UGCAGUCGAACGAUGAUGCCCAGCUUGCUGGGUGGAUUAGUGGCGAACGGGUGAGUAACACGUGAGUAACCUGCCCCUGACUCUGGGAUAAGCGUUGGAAACGACGUCUAAUACUGGAUAUGACUGCCGGCCGCAUGGUCUGGUGGUGGAAAGAUUUUUUGGUUGGGGAUGGACUCGCGGCCUAUCAGCUUGUUGGUGAGGUAAUGGCUCACCAAGGCGACGACGGGUAGCCGGCCUGAGAGGGUGACCGGCCACACUGGGACUGAGACACGGCCCAGACUCCUACGGGAGGCAGCAGUGGGGAAUAUUGCACAAUGGGCGAAAGCCUGAUGCAGCAACGCCGCGUGAGGGAUGACGGCCUUCGGGUUGUAAACCUCUUUUAGUAGGGAAGAAGCGAAAGUGACGGUACCUGCAGAAAAAGCACCGGCUAACUACGUGCCAGCAGCCGCGGUAAUACGUAGGGUGCAAGCGUUGUCCGGAAUUAUUGGGCGUAAAGAGCUCGUAGGCGGUUUGUCGCGUCUGCUGUGAAAUCCCGAGGCUCAACCUCGGGCUUGCAGUGGGUACGGGCAGACUAGAGUGCGGUAGGGGAGAUUGGAAUUCCUGGUGUAGCGGUGGAAUGCGCAGAUAUCAGGAGGAACACCGAUGGCGAAGGCAGAUCUCUGGGCCGUAACUGACGCUGAGGAGCGAAAGCAUGGGGAGCGAACAGGAUUAGAUACCCUGGUAGUCCAUGCCGUAAACGUUGGGCGCUAGAUGUAGGGACCUUUCCACGGUUUCUGUGUCGUAGCUAACGCAUUAAGCGCCCCGCCUGGGGAGUACGGCCGCAAGGCUAAAACUCAAAGGAAUUGACGGGGGCCCGCACAAGCGGCGGAGCAUGCGGAUUAAUUCGAUGCAACGCGAAGAACCUUACCAAGGCUUGACAUACACCGGAAACGGCCAGAGAUGGUCGCCCCCUUGUGGUCGGUGUACAGGUGGUGCAUGGUUGUCGUCAGCUCGUGUCGUGAGAUGUUGGGUUAAGUCCCGCAACGAGCGCAACCCUCGUUCUAUGUUGCCAGCGCGUUAUGGCGGGGACUCAUAGGAGACUGCCGGGGUCAACUCGGAGGAAGGUGGGGAUGACGUCAAAUCAUCAUGCCCCUUAUGUCUUGGGC
RNAcentral lists this ribosomal RNA (1145 nucleotides) under Curtobacterium sp. RNAcentral's name for it is "bacterial SSU rRNA". It matches the Rfam family "Bacterial small subunit ribosomal RNA", at positions 56 to 1214 of the family's 1533-position model. Lineage: Bacteria; Bacillati; Actinomycetota; Actinomycetes; Micrococcales; Microbacteriaceae. The record is from RNAcentral.